CUUGCUGCUGCCGGACGCGGGGGGCCGGCUUGCCGUCCUCGACGUAGCGCAGCUGGAUGCCGGCCCGGCCGGCGAGCCGUUCGACCGACUCGACGAAGC
This 99-nucleotide transfer RNA is filed under the name Micromonospora sp. NBRC 101691. Its description in RNAcentral is "tRNA-Arg". Lineage: Bacteria; Bacillati; Actinomycetota; Actinomycetes; Micromonosporales; Micromonosporaceae. The record is from RNAcentral.